Molecule: transfer RNA, 65 nt
Filed under: Chaetogammarus marinus
Lineage: Eukaryota; Metazoa; Arthropoda; Malacostraca; Amphipoda; Gammaridae
Description: tRNA-Ile
Source: RNAcentral
AGCGGGGUACCUUAUUUAAGAGGACUGCCGUGAUGCGGCAGGCGUGUUUACAAACCCCCGCUACC